Molecule: long non-coding RNA, 515 nt
Organism: Grus americana (Whooping crane)
Lineage: Eukaryota; Metazoa; Chordata; Aves; Gruiformes; Gruidae
Exons: 3
Source: RefSeq, a predicted model, not a curated record
AUCACUUCUUACAUUUUCCUAAAAGCAAGGAAUAAAACUGUAACAGUUAUAAAAUGGAACUUGGAUGUAACCACAGAACAUUUCUCUAGUUUAAAUUGUUUUAAGAACUUAAUUUUUUUUUAAUUGAAGGAUUCAAAUAUUCCCCUGAUUUCCAUUCAAUCUGGGACAGCACUGAGUGAAAACAGGAAACAUGUCAUCUGAGGAGAAUCAAAAUCACAGAUGAACAAAUCACAACUGAAAUCAAUGGGAAUUUAAGAGCAUGCUAAAGAGAACUGGUGUCAGACAGCAGCUGAAUAUCCGGAAAAAAAUUAUGUGUUUGCAAGGUGUCAGGCUUCAGUGACAGAGACACAACUGGAUUCCUUCGUGGAAAUGACACUGCUUCAGGAAGCACCCAUGUGACAUAUAGGUUUUUUUGCAGGAUAAUACCGUGGUCACCUACUCUCCAUAGCGGGAAAAUAUACGAAGAGGGGUAUGAAGCUACAGUUGAAGAACUUCAAAGUGACAUAAGUGUAUGG